This 468-nucleotide ribosomal RNA is filed under the name uncultured bacterium. Its description in RNAcentral is "partial 16S ribosomal RNA". It matches the Rfam family "Bacterial small subunit ribosomal RNA", at positions 28 to 507 of the family's 1533-position model. The record is from RNAcentral.
GACGAACGCUGGCGGCGUGCUUAACACAUGCAAGUCGAACGGAAAGGUCCUGCUUUUGUGGGGUGCUCGUGUGGCGAAGGGGUGAGUAACACGUGAGUAAACUGUCCUUAACUUUGGGAUAACUUCUGGGAAAACGGGCUAAUAUCGGAUAGGAUAUACUGAAGCAUGGUGGGGGUUGGAAAGUGUCGGCGGUUGUGGAUGGAUUGGAGGCUUAUGAGCUUGUUGGUGAGGUAGGGGAUUACAAAGGCUUUGACGGGUAGCCGGCCUGGGAGGGUGACCGGCCACAUUGGGCCUGAGAGACGGACCAGAAGCCUACCGGACGCAGCAGUCGGAAGUUUUGCACAAUGGCCGGAAGCCUGAUGCAGCAACGCCGCGUGCGUGAAGACGUCCUUCGGGUUAAAAACCGAUUUCGCCUUUGACAUAGCGUUUGUGACGGUAAUUGGUAAAAAAGCACCGGCUAACUACGUG